AAAACGAAGAAAGAAGAAGAA
This 21-nucleotide microRNA is filed under the name Caenorhabditis elegans. RNAcentral describes it as "cel-miR-8209-5p". Lineage: Eukaryota; Metazoa; Nematoda; Chromadorea; Rhabditida; Rhabditidae. The record is from miRBase by way of RNAcentral.